CACAUAAUCAACAUCAGUUAAAUCAAUAUAAAAGAUGUACUCAAAUUAUAACUAACAGACUAAUUGAUGUUAUCACAAUAACUACAUACCAGUCAUCAUUGGUAUGAUUUUCUGUUUCUUGCUCCAACUGUACAACGAUAUUCUUCUGUUUAACACUAUAAUAAUAUUUGCUUUAGUAUUAAUCUCACUCUGUUGCUGUAAUACGUUUCUGUAUGUUAAGAUCAAAAGAAUGGCUAUACAGAUGAAACCCCACAUAAAUAUGCUUUCCAGUUUCUUCUGAGGACCUCUGUACAGUCCUGACAAUACCUCUUAGCCUUGGCUUCUCCUCAGGAGGACACUCAGACUCAAGCUUUAUAAUGCCCCUUUCCAGCUUGAAGUAAUCAGAGUGGUCAGUGUCCCAACUCCCAGCAGUAGUCAGGGUGUCCUCUGAGAGGGGGGAUUGAGGGAGAUGUAUAAGGGCUUAGGCAGCCAGGGCAGGAUGGCAAGUGAGGAGGUUAGGGGCAGGAUCAGAACAAAGGAGCACGGAGAGGGUCUUCUGAUGAGGUCAACCUCCUGGUUGUUGAAAGCACUCAUGGACACAAGUGGAGGACCAGUCAGACAGAUACUUCCAUAUCUGUGCUCCUAAGUGGGGAAUCCAAAAAAAGAAGACUUUUUCAAAUAACAAAAGCAUAGAAAAACUAAAACAGACACGUGGACAGAAGAGGCACCAAUCAAUAAUAGUGAGGAGAGCACGGAUAGACAGGCCAAAACCCCCUCACUAGAUUCCCAGCUCUGGGGCCCCUUCUCUUCAGAGAAGUCUAUCUCUCUCACUUUUGCAAUAAAUCUGCAGCUUGCUUGCUAUCUCUGUUGCUAUCUGGUUCUGAUAGCUCUUGCUAUCUCUGUUGUGUCCUGUUCUCCAAUUCUUUGCUGAACAGAGAAAGAACCCAGCACUCCUAAAUGGUAACAGAAUAAACAUGUGAGCCAGGUACUAUGGUGAAUGCCUGAAAUCCCAGCUACUUGUGAGGCUGAAGCAGGAGGAUCACAAGUUCAAGGCCAGUUUGAGCAACUUAGUGAGCUUUUGUCUCAAAAUUUAAAAAAAUAAGUAAAAAAGGCUGAGAGUGUAGCUCAGUAUUAGGGUUUCCCUGG
RNAcentral lists this long non-coding RNA (1125 nucleotides) under Marmota monax (woodchuck). Lineage: Eukaryota; Metazoa; Chordata; Mammalia; Rodentia; Sciuridae. The record is from RNAcentral.